This 442-nucleotide ribosomal RNA is filed under the name uncultured Prevotella sp. RNAcentral's name for it is "bacterial SSU rRNA". It matches the Rfam family "Bacterial small subunit ribosomal RNA", at positions 355 to 794 of the family's 1533-position model. Lineage: Bacteria; Pseudomonadati; Bacteroidota; Bacteroidia; Bacteroidales; Prevotellaceae. The record is from RNAcentral.
UAAGGGAUAUUGGUCAAUGGGGCGGGAGCCUGAACCAGCCAUGCCGCGUGAGGGAAUGAGGCCCUACGGGUCGUAAACCUCUUUUGCCGGGGGAUAACGGGCGCCACGUGUGGCGCCGUGAAGGUACCCGGAGAAUAAGCAUCGGCUAACUCCGUGCCAGCAGCCGCGGUAAUACGGAGGAUGCGAGCGUUAUCCGGAUUUAUUGGGUUUAAAGGGUGCGCAGGCGGGAGAUUAAGCGUGUUGUGAAAUGCCGCGGCUCAACCGUGGCACUGCAGCGCGAACUGGUUUUCUUGAGUGCGCGCGACGCAGGCGGAAUUCGUGGUGUAGCGGUGAAAUGCUUAGAUAUCACGAGGAACCCGAUUGCGAAGGCAGCUUGCGGGAGCGCAACUGACGCUGAAGCUCGAAGGUGCGGGUAUCGAACAGGAUUAGAUACCCUGGUAGU